UACGGAGGGUGCAAGCGUUAGUCGGAAUUACGGGGCGUAAAGGGCGCGUAGGCGGAGAUCUAAGUCAGCCGUGAAAUUCCGGGGCUCAACCUCGGAGCUGCGGCUGAAACUAUUUUUCUUGAGGAAUGGCGGAGAAAACGGAAUUCCACAUGUAGCGGUGAAAUGCGUAGAUAUGUGGAGGAACACCUGUGGCGAAAGCGGUUUUCUAGCUUAUUCCUGACGCUGAUGCGCGAAAGCAAGGGGAGCAAACAGG
This 253-nucleotide ribosomal RNA is filed under the name uncultured bacterium. RNAcentral's name for it is "partial 16S ribosomal RNA". It matches the Rfam family "Bacterial small subunit ribosomal RNA", at positions 524 to 776 of the family's 1533-position model. The record is from RNAcentral.